RNAcentral lists this small nuclear RNA (150 nucleotides) under Nannospalax galili (Upper Galilee mountains blind mole rat). Its description in RNAcentral is "U1 spliceosomal RNA (ENSNGAG00000003974.1)". Lineage: Eukaryota; Metazoa; Chordata; Mammalia; Rodentia; Spalacidae. The record is from RNAcentral.
UGUCACACCUCGCAGCAGCGACACCAUGAUCACCAAGGCAGUUUUCCCAGGGCGGGGCUUAUCCACUAUUCCAGAUGUGCUGACUCCUGCGAUUCCUCACUCAAUUGUGUAAUUUGUGAUGGUGGGCGUCUGGGUUUGCACUCUUCCUUG